RNAcentral lists this ribosomal RNA (497 nucleotides) under uncultured bacterium. Its description in RNAcentral is "partial 16S ribosomal RNA". It matches the Rfam family "Bacterial small subunit ribosomal RNA", at positions 28 to 507 of the family's 1533-position model. The record is from RNAcentral.
GAUGAACGCUGGCGGCGUGCCUAAUACAUGCAAGUCGAGCGAACAGACGAGGAGCUUGCUCCUCUGACGUUAGCGGCGGACGGGUGAGUAACACGUGGAUAACCUCCCUAUAAGACUGGGAUAACUUCGGGAAACCGGAGCUAAUACCGGAUAAUAUAUUGAACCGCAUGGUUCAAUAGUGAAAGACGGUUUUGCUGUCACUUCUAGAUGGAUCCGCGCCGCAUUAGCUAGUUGGUAAGGUAACGGCUUACCAAGGCAACGAUGCGUAGCCGACCUGAGAGGGUGAUCGGCCACACUGGAACGGGGACACGGUCCAGAGUCCUACGGGAGGCAGCAGUAGGGAAUCUGCCGCAAUGGGCGAAAGCUUGACGGAGCAACGCGGCGCGAGUGAUGAAGGUGUUCGGAGCGGAAAACUCUGUUAUGAGGGAAGAACAAAUGUGUAAGUAACUAUGCACGUCUUGACGGUACCUAAUCAGAAAGCCACGGCUAACUACGUG